Molecule: non-coding RNA, 393 nt
Organism: Paramuricea clavata
Lineage: Eukaryota; Metazoa; Cnidaria; Anthozoa; Malacalcyonacea; Plexauridae
Source: the annotation of a GenBank genome assembly
CAGUCACUAAUCUAACAGAACAACGAAUUACACGUCACAUAACUGAGAUACUAUUUUACACAAUCCUUGUCGAGUGGAAUCGAGUGGGCAAUGUUUUUAAAGUUCAUUGUCAUCUUCAACAAAGCUAUCUGGACGGUGUAGGUCGUUGUUCAUCCUGUCUUCGUUCGUCAUCAUGCGGUACAUUGCACGUGCCUCUUUCUCUAAGCUGAAAUAUACAGUGUAUGAAUUAUGAAUAUCAUAUAUGAAUACGUUCGGCAGGGUUAACCGCGAUGAUUUGUUUCAUAAACUGCUUUUAUCACGGCUUUGAUAGACAUAAAAAUGGCAUUUCAAAGUUGAAUUAUAGCUUAGUUUGAUUCCGGUAACAGUAUCAUGGGCGUACCGGGCGGGAGGGGC